Cyanistes caeruleus (blue tit) is the source of this 1172-nucleotide non-coding RNA. Lineage: Eukaryota; Metazoa; Chordata; Aves; Passeriformes; Paridae. The record is from RefSeq and is a predicted model, not a curated record.
GCGCCGGGCACGAAGCCUAAGCCCGAGUUUUCUCGUGCGAGGAGCAUCUGGCGGGGCCCGAAGCCUGAGCGGAGCAGUGUCGGGGCCGGUCCGAGCGCCGUGCGGAGAUGGGCGGUGCGGGCUUGGCGGGAACGCGACCGUGUGGAUAGGGCGGCUGUGCUCGUACUACGCGGGGUCAGCGGGUCGCGAUUGGCAGAUCCAUUGCCUUCCUCGUGCUGGCAUUGGUGGCGCCUGACGCCUCUCCGUCAGAUUCCCCUCCCUUGCCCCACAGUCGCUACCUCGGCUCGACAGACUCUAUCCGUGCUCUACAGUCCCUAUCCCGUUCCCGCAGACCCUAUCCCGGCCCACAGCCCCUGUACCACCCGUAAUCCCUUCCCCGGCCCACUGUUCCUACCUUGGCCCACAGUCCCUAUCCUGGUCUACAAAACCUCCCCAGCCUACAAUCUCUCCCCCAUCCCACAGACUGUACCCUGGCCUACAGUUCAUAUUCUGGCCCCACAGUCCCAAUUGCAAUCCUACAAUCACUAACCCAGCGCUAAAGUUGCUACCCCAACCCUACAGAGAUUUCAGCUGCAGUCCUAUUGUGACAUCAUAGUGAUGCUGGCUACAAUCCCACAAGGUUUAUUUCACCAGCUCCAUCUUUGCAUAUUCCCAUUGCUGCCAAGCGAAGCUUCUCCUUCUUGUGGAAGGAUCUUCACUGUGCUCCAGAUCUUUGAGGUUCCAACUUCAACUCUAGAAUGCAUAUUCCAAACCCAGCCUGAAGAACUUUAUUUCAGCUCCACUGCUUCAGCUUCAGUUCCACAUCUUCCCACCACUGCCAGGUGAAGUUCCAGAUCUUCCCACCUCUGCCAGGUGAAGAUGCUCCUGGAUCAGGGCUGGAUCUUCUUUUCACAUCCAGCUCUCUCAUGUUUCAGCUCCAGCUCUAGAAUCCACAUUUGAGCUCCAGCCUGUCACGGGUACAGAAGCGCCUUGUGUUGUUGGAUCGUUCUUCAGGGUAGCCGGUGACCGAGGCAGAAUUCCCCGCUCUCCUCCCCACUCCUCUCUGGUGGAAAGAACGUGUCUCCAUCAUAGACAUGGCACCGCCUGAGGGCAACGAGGUGUGGGCGUAGCACAUCCCACCCCUUCUACACAGCAGCCCUUUCCCGGGCAUACCGAAAUAUGAAUAUACUGAA